UUCAUAGCUUCACACAUCUUCGAGUGGCUUAGUCAAUGGUGUAGAUGUCUUCAUAGCCUGCCUGUCAUUUACAGUUAUCGACUGUCUUUAAGAUAUGAGAUCAGUUGAAAAACCCGCAAUUAUAUUCUGAUGGAGAUACCUCAUGAGUAACCAAUCCCCAAUGAUGUUAUGAAGUUUUGAAACAAAAUUACCAGAAUAUCAGAAGUACCAUCCAAGGAAGACCAUCAGCGCCACCAACACCAAAAAACAGAGAAAUCGCUUUUGUAUAUA
Patella vulgata (common limpet) is the source of this 270-nucleotide long non-coding RNA. RefSeq lists it as uncharacterized. The transcript has 3 exons. The record is from RefSeq and is a predicted model, not a curated record. NCBI's taxonomy places the organism in Eukaryota, Metazoa, Mollusca, Gastropoda, Patellidae.